This 658-nucleotide long non-coding RNA is filed under the name Daucus carota (carrot). RNAcentral's name for it is "long non-coding RNA (DCAR_LNC005352)". Lineage: Eukaryota; Viridiplantae; Streptophyta; Magnoliopsida; Apiales; Apiaceae. The record is from RNAcentral.
AUUUAUUUUUCAUUCUAAAUUCAACUCAAUGGUCAAUUCUAUACGAAUUAUUGAUGAGAUCAUGCAGGUCGAAGAAGAAGAAACUUAAGCAAUGAUGACGAUGAUGGGUGGUGUUCAUCUUCGUCGCCGAAGUCGAAGAGAAAAUCUAAUUGCACGUAAUGGUGGAUCUACAAUGAAUCAUCGUGUCAUUGAUCACAACAGAGAAAAAAGUCACAAUAGAUUGUACCAUGAUUAUUUUUCAAAUACUCCUACAUAUACAUAUACAGAAACACAAUUUACUUCUUGUCAAAUUUACUUUUGUUGGUGUUUGCUAGUUUUCGUGCCUAAAGAAAUUCAGUCCGUAUUAUCUAGGUUUAUAUGAGAGAGACCUAAUAGUCUAUAUUACCUAGGUUUCUAUGAGAAGGACCUAAUAAUCUAUAUUGUCUAGGUUUUCAUGAGAAAGACCUAAUAGUGAGAAAUGCCAUUCUAAGCUACCAUGGUCAGGUUGUUGUGUACACAUGGAAGAAGGACGGGUAGGUAUGUGUGACUUGACAGAUUGGAGUAAUGUUUCUAUCAUUAAGCAUGUUGUCGAAGUUUAUAGAUUCAGGUGGAUUGACUUCGUUAAGUUGUCAAAAGAACCAUUUUUCGAAUGAUGUGCAUUCUUUUUAGCUGUUUUUGG